UGACCUCAAAUCAGGUGGGACUACCCGCUGAACUUAAGCAUAUCAAUAAGCGGAGGAAAAGAAACUAACAAGGAUUCCCCUAGUAACUGCGAGUGAAGCGGGAAAAGCUCAAAUUUAAAAUCUGGUGGUUUCGGCCAUCCGAGUUGUAAUCUGGAGAAGUGUUUUCCGCGUUGGACCGUGCACAAGUUUCCUGGAACGGAGCGUCAUAGAGGGUGAGAAUCCCGUCUUUGGCACGGAUC
This 239-nucleotide ribosomal RNA is filed under the name Stereaceae sp. NK268. Its description in RNAcentral is "partial 28S ribosomal RNA". It matches the Rfam family "Eukaryotic large subunit ribosomal RNA", at positions 1 to 236 of the family's 3401-position model. Lineage: Eukaryota; Fungi; Basidiomycota; Agaricomycetes; Russulales. The record is from RNAcentral.